Molecule: long non-coding RNA, 2224 nt
Organism: Equus asinus (donkey)
Lineage: Eukaryota; Metazoa; Chordata; Mammalia; Perissodactyla; Equidae
Source: Ensembl
GUGAGUAUCUUCCAGGCUCACCCACAGAGUAUACUCAACUGGUGGGCUUUCCCCCCUUACGCAGCAAGUCCAGUCUAGCAUGCCCAUUUCUCUGAGCCUUUUGUUCCCUUCUUCCACCAUCUGUUCUGGAAUUUCUAUUUAAUUUAAUGUGGGCCAUCCCUUACUCCAAGAUUCAAGAGCCAUUGCAGCAGCAGAUGAGCACUAUCUCCCAGGUCCUUGCUAGAGAAUUAAAACAUGUCGCAGGAGAGUGCUCUCAUAGACCCCCUGAACCAGCACUCUUGAGAUCCAGUCUCAUACAUCCAUAAAUACUGGGCCCAAUGGUACGUGUUAGCCAAGUGCUGCGGCUACUUCCUACUCUAGUCCCUUUCCUCCCUUAGCAGGCCCAGCCCUUUCCUGGUGGGCUAUGUGGUGACUUGACACUAGAUUUUGGUGUGGUAGCUAGAAGGCAGAUCCUGAAGGGGAGCAUGUGUUGCCUUAUGAGACAGAGGUCUCUGCAGCAUCUUCAAUCAAGAGGAGUGCUAGUCUCCAACAGGGAGGAUUAAACCAUUUCUACCCACCUCAAGGGUUUCCAGGUUUCCAAGGGUAUCAACCCACAAGUCUUCAUCCCAAGUCCCAGGAUCCUGCUCUUUCCCAGCCCUGCCAGGACUGAGAAGUCAGCCCUCUCUGGAUGCUACUUUUAUCAUGAAGUCCUCCGCUUUGUCUGCCCUUUGGCUUCAGGAAGUGAGUCUCUUUAUAUGCCUCCAAGCAAGCCUCUGACUUUCUCUCUUCGCCUUCAAGUGCUGAUUAAUGACCCCCGUCUUUCAUUGUCUUUCUCAAACGUAUCAACAGCCCUCAGCAAGAGGCGUUGUCCUUAUAAUUAGUACUUCCCCUGAACCUCUCAAAAGCUUGAGAUAUUGAGCCUGCUGGUUCUUUCCCUACCGACAGAAUUCCAUCCCAAUUCAGCACCAAUGAAAAUGUUAACAAAUGGCCAGGAGCUAUCAGUGCUCUACUCGCCAUCAGUGAUGGGCUUCUCAUUGCCAGGUAAUCCACCACCAAAAUCUCUUUUUAGAGUCUGCUUCCUCAAACCCCUGCUGGUACCCACAGUGUUGGGUUGAGUUUCCCGGGAAACAGACCCUGAAGUGAAGGUCUCUGUGCAGGAAGUUCACUGGAGUAGUGCCCUCUGCGUCAAUCCCUGCGGGAGAGUGAAGUAUGUGGGACUGGGCAGAGAGAGGAGUUGAACUGCAAUGCAAUUACAAGGCCUCAGUGGAGUCUAUAGGAGCUCUGGAGCUGGGAUGGAGCUACAGAGUCAUCCCAAAUUAAGGCAAGGGGGCGAGGCAGUCAUACUCCAACAGUGGUCAGUCAUUGGAUGAGGGCUAGCCUUUAUCUCUAGGGUAGGGGCAUGAACUUGGCUGAAACAACUGUCUUCAGCUGAAAGCUGUGCCUGGUGAGGGACUCAGCUGGACUCCAUCGGCCACCAACUCUCCCAGCAGCUGGGGAAAUGAGUGCCUUGGUCUGAAAGGGGAUCUGGAUAGCAUACCACAGCAUGGCUACAAUGUGCUGGGCAUUGCUUUGGUGUUGAGAUACAGCAGUGAACGUAGCAGACAAAAUCCCAUGUUCUUUUCUACGAUUUAAAUGGUGUGCUCAAGGAAGGCAUCACUGUGCAGCUGGCGUUGAACAAAGACUUGGAGGAAGAGAGGAAACAAGCUAUGCAGAUAUUUGGGGCAAAUGUUUUCCAGGCAGCAGCAACAUCAAUGUAAAGAGAUACAGACUCUCUUACUGCCAAUUCACUUUAUUCCCGGGGCCUCGUCUCACCUGUCUCAAAAGUGAACUUCGUAUUUGGUUGUCGGGAUUCAGAAACACAUUCUGGAUAAGGAUGGAGCAUCACAGGACGGCUCGUGUCGGAGGAAGGGAUUUCUCCUGGGUUGUGCUGUUGUUAAUCACUCCAGAUACGUCUGAACGACAACAAACUCCCCAAGGGUUCCUUUCGAAAGCUCACACUUUGUUCUCCAAAGCCAUUGGGCCAAACAGCAACCAACAAACACAAAACAGCCCAUUUAAGAAAUCAAUACAGAGCCAGUCUUGAUGACCUAGUGGUUAAAGUUUGGUGCUCACUGAGUUUGCUGCGGCGGCCCGGGUUCGCUUCCAGGAUGCAGAACCACACCACCCAACUGUCAGGUGCCAUGCUGUGGGGGCGGCUCACACAGAAGAACCAGAAAGACUUACAACCAUGAGUACAACCGCAUAC